Long non-coding RNA from Triticum aestivum (bread wheat), 1776 nucleotides. RefSeq lists it as uncharacterized. The record is from RefSeq and is a predicted model, not a curated record. NCBI's taxonomy places the organism in Eukaryota, Viridiplantae, Streptophyta, Magnoliopsida, Poales, Poaceae. The transcript is spliced from 6 exons.
CAUACUCUGCUUACCAUAUAGUGAUAGACGCCAAACAUUCUGAAUUGUAAAUUCAGGUCGCGUUUAUUCAACUAUUUAUUUUGGGUAUUUGAUUGAUCUGUUGAUAUUUCACCCUUCAAUCUUGUUUAAUUAAUAGAGCCUCAUACAUGUAAGUUGGUGCUUGAUCUGUUGAUAUUGAUUUUGAUUUCAGGAUGUCAUAAUAUCGGAAGUUGUGUUUGAGCUUCGCUGCUGACCAUAGAUUUCUUUGUCAACCAGUCAACACUGCAAGCUCCAGGUUCUUACUGCACUUGGGAGUUCGGGGUACCUUGUCUCUUCCGAUCGUCUUGUCGGCUGCUUUCCCUACUGAGGCCCUCUUGUUGCUGCCUUCACUUGCUUUGUCGUCUACUGCUCUGUUAGCUCGCCGGUUCCCUAUCUUGCUGUGAAGGGAGGGGGAAUACUACGAUUCCACACUGUUUCCGAGGCAAAAUCCAGAGCAAUUUUGUGUCGAGGAAGUUUCAGAUUUAUACGACGAAUUAUGUGCUCUUUAGUAGGGUUAAAGUUUCCACAAGGCUUACCUACCAAAGCUCGCGGCGAGGAUUGCUGUGUCCAACCUGCUGCCAAGUGGCUAGCCGCCAAGUGGAAAUACUCUGUGGCGCUCGUAAAUAGAGAGCAUUCUGGUAGAAAGGUACAGGAAAGAAUAGGGAUACUUCUGUCAUUUUCUUUGGUCUCUGGAAAAUAAAUGGUGAUAUGGAAUGAUACAUUGCUAAAUUACAUGAUACAAACUCACUUCUCUUUUUUGAUUUUUGGUUUACUUCGUUGUGCUACAAUGGCUCUCCUAGGAAUGUUCUUCCAUGCUUUGAUGUGCACAAUCCAGGAAGUGCAUGCAUCCAGAAACCAAAUAGGAUUUUUUGUGUGUUAUUGUCUCAUAAAUCUUGUGCUCGUCCAAUAAGAAUAAGGUUUGGUGGUAUUGCUUUUGUCUGUCACCCGGUAGAUUUCAGACUUCAAGCUAGCUGCAGUUAUUUCAGGUUAUAUGUGCAAAUCCUUGGUGUGCCAUGAUUGGUAACUGACCAUGAAUACGUUGCAAUCUGAUAUGUCUAAUUCUUGAUUUAUGUGGUACCAUGGUCUAAAAAUUUGUCCUAAAGAUACAUGAUGUUUUUGUACAAAGUUGACAGUUAUUUUGGAACGGAGGGAGUAUUAGAUUAUUUUGUUCCUUUUUAAUUUGGUUCUAAAGAUAUACUCCCUCCGUUCCAAAUUACUCGUUGUGGUUUUAGUUCAAAUUUGAACUAAAACCACGACGAGUAAUUUGGAACGGAGGGAGUAGUUUCAGAGUGAUCAUUUUGCAUCAGCCAAGCUUGCCGUUGUUACAAAUAAUUGUUCUGUUGUCCUCAAUUCACUUUCUCGGUUUUUUAAUGCUACAAGCAUUAUUGUUCCAGUUUUUUUAGUUAUUGAUCAUGCCAUUUUUCUUUCUGCCUUUGUAGCUGAAAGAUUAGUGAGAUUGACUAAAUUCUGAACAUGUUCCUUGUGAGAGAAAUAGCAUGUUGAUUUCAUCUUGAAAUAAUCAUAGCUGAGGGACGAGGUUCGUAACUGAGGGCCAUGUACAGAGCUGGAGGAAGAAGUUGCGAGGCUUGGAACUCUCCUUGUGGAACUCUCCUUGUGAAUGGCUCAGGGACAGGAGUGAGGACAAUGCCUCUUUAGUUGUAAUUGUGAUACUCUUAAUGUGCAAGUAAACACUCCUGUGAUACUCCUUAUGCUAAAAUGUUGGUUGUUAGUAUAGAGGUGGUGACAUUAUUUGGUUCU